GAUGAACGCUGGCGGCGUGCUUAACACAUGCAAGUCGAACGAGAAGUGAAGACGGAAACCUUCGGGCGGAAGGCUUUAUUUCGAGUGGCGGACGGGUGAGUAACGCGUGGGUACCCUGCCUCAUACAGGGGGAUAACAGUUGGAAACGACUGUUAAUACCGCAUAAGACCACAGCACCGCAUGGUGCGGGGGUAAAAACUCCGGUGGUAUGAGAUGGACCCGCGUUCGAUUAGCCAGUUGGCGGGGUAACGGCCCACCAAAGCGACGAUCGAUAGCCGAUCUGAGAGGAUGACCGGCCACAUUGGGACUGAGAAACGGCCCAAACUCCUACGGGAGGCAGCAGUGGGGAAUAUUGCACAAUGGGGGAAACCCUGAUGCAGCGACGCCGCGUGAGUGAAGAAGUAUUUCGGUAUGUAAAGCUCUAUCAGCAGGGAAGAAAAUGACGGUACCUGAGUAAGAAGCCCCGGCUAACUACGUG
This 478-nucleotide ribosomal RNA is filed under the name uncultured bacterium. RNAcentral's name for it is "partial 16S ribosomal RNA". It matches the Rfam family "Bacterial small subunit ribosomal RNA", at positions 28 to 507 of the family's 1533-position model. The record is from RNAcentral.